Molecule: ribosomal RNA, 442 nt
Filed under: uncultured bacterium
Lineage: Bacteria
Description: partial 16S ribosomal RNA
Rfam family: Bacterial small subunit ribosomal RNA
Source: RNAcentral
CCUACGGGAGGCAGCAGUGGGGAAUAUUGGGCAAUGGGCGCAAGCCUGACCCAGCAACGCCGCGUGAAGGAAGAAGGCUUUCGGGUUGUAAACUUCUUUUUAGAGGGAAGAGAAGAAGACGGUACCUCUUGAAUAAGCCACGGCUAACUAUGUGCCAGCAGACGCGGUAAUACGUAGGUGGCAAGCGUUGUCCGGAUUUACUGGGAGUAAAGGGCGUGCAGCCGGGCUGACAAGUCAGAUGUGAAAUCAUGCGGCUCAACCGCGGAACUGCAUUGGAAACUGUCAGUCUUGAGUACCGGAGAUGACAUCGGAAUUCCUUGUGUAGCGGUGAAAUGCGUAGAUAUAAGGAAGAACACCAGUGGCGAAGGCGGAUGACUGGACGGCAACUGACGGUGAGGCGCGAAAGCGUGGGGAGCAAACAGGAUUAGAUACCCGAGUAGUC